AGGGCGCACGGUGGAUGCCUUGGCACUAGAAGCCGAUGAAGGACGUUACUAACGACGAUAUGCUUUGGGGAGCUGUAAGUAAGCUUUGAUCCAGAGAUUUCCGAAUGGGGAAACCCAGCAUGAGUUAUGUCAUGUUAUCGAUAUGUGAAUACAUAGCAUAUCAGAAGGCACACCCGGAGAACUGAAACAUCUUAGUACCCGGAGGAAGAGAAAGAAAAUUCGAUUCCCUUAGUAGCGGCGAGCGAAACGGGAAGAGCCCAAACCAACAAGCUUGCUUGUUGGGGUUGUAGGACACUCUAUACGGAGUUACAAAGGACGACAUUAGACGAAUCAUCUGGAAAGAUGAAUCAAAGAAGGUAAUAAUCCUGUAGUCGAAAAUGUUGUCUCUCUUGAGUGGAUCCUGAGUACGACGGAGCACGUGAAAUUCCGUCGGAAUCUGGGAGGACCAUCUCCUAAGGCUAAAUACUCUCUAGUGACCGAUAGUGAACCAGUACCGUGAGGGAAAGGUGAAAAGCACCCCGGAAGGGGAGUGAAAUAGAACCUGAAACCGUGUGCUUACAAGUAGUCAGAGCCCGUUAAUGGGUGAUGGCGUGCCUUUUGUAGAAUGAACCGGCGAGUUACGAUUUGAUGCAAGGUUAAGCAGUAAAUGUGGAGCCGUAGCGAAAGCGAGUCUGAAUAGGGCGUUUAGUAUUUGGUCGUAGACCCGAAACCAGGUGAUCUACCCUUGGUCAGGUUGAAGUUCAGGUAACACUGAAUGGAGGACCGAACCGACUUACGUUGAAAAGUGAGCGGAUGAACUGAGGGUAGCGGAGAAAUUCCAAUCGAACCUGGAGAUAGCUGGUUCUCUCCGAAAUAGCUUUAGGGCUAGCCUCAAGUGAUGAUUAUUGGAGGUAGAGCACUGUUUGGACGAGGGGCCCCUCUCGGGUUACCGAAUUCAGACAAACUCCGAAUGCCAAUUAAUUUAACUUGGGAGUCAGAACAUGGGUGAUAAGGUCCGUGUUCGAAAGGGAAACAGCCCAGACCACCAGCUAAGGUCCCAAAAUAUAUGUUAAGUGGAAAAGGAUGUGGCGUUGCCCAGACAACUAGGAUGUUGGCUUAGAAGCAGCCAUCAUUUAAAGAGUGCGUAAUAGCUCACUAGUCGAGUGACACUGCGCCGAAAAUGUACCGGGGCUAAACAUAUUACCGAAGCUGUGGAUUGUCCUUUGGACAAUGGUAGGAGAGCGUUCUAAGGGCGUUGAAGCAUGAUCGUAAGGACAUGUGGAGCGCUUAGAAGUGAGAAUGCCGGUGUGAGUAGCGAAAGACGGGUGAGAAUCCCGUCCACCGAUUGACUAAGGUUUCCAGAGGAAGGCUCGUCCGCUCUGGGUUAGUCGGGUCCUAAGCUGAGGCCGACAGGCGUAGGCGAUGGAUAACAGGUUGAUAUUCCUGUACCACCUAUAAUCGUUUUAAUCGAUGGGGGGACGCAGUAGGAUAGGCGAAGCGUGCGAUUGGAUUGCACGUCUAAGCAGUAAGGCUGAGUAUUAGGCAAAUCCGGUACUCGUUAAGGCUGAGCUGUGAUGGGGAGAAGACAUUGUGUCUUCGAGUCGUUGAUUUCACACUGCCGAGAAAAGCCUCUAGAUAGAAAAUAGGUGCCCGUACCGCAAACCGACACAGGUAGUCAAGAUGAGAAUUCUAAGGUGAGCGAGCGAACUCUCGUUAAGGAACUCGGCAAAAUGACCCCGUAACUUCGGGAGAAGGGGUGCUCUUUAGGGUUAACGCCCAGAAGAGCCGCAGUGAAUAGGCCCAAGCGACUGUUUAUCAAAAACACAGGUCUCUGCUAAACCGUAAGGUGAUGUAUAGGGGCUGACGCCUGCCCGGUGCUGGAAGGUUAAGAGGAGUGGUUAGCUUCUGCGAAGCUACGAAUCGAAGCCCCAGUAAACGGCGGCCGUAACUAUAACGGUCCUAAGGUAGCGAAAUUCCUUGUCGGGUAAGUUCCGACCCGCACGAAAGGCGUAACGAUUUGGGCACUGUCUCAACGAGAGACUCGGUGAAAUCAUAGUACCUGUGAAGAUGCAGGUUACCCGCGACAGGACGGAAAGACCCCGUGGAGCUUUACUGUAGCCUGAUAUUGAAAUUCGGCACAGCUUGUACAGGAUAGGUAGGAGCCUUUGAAACGUGAGCGCUAGCUUACGUGGAGGCGCUGGUGGGAUACUACCCUAGCUGUGUUGGCUUUCUAACCCGCACCACUUAUCGUGGUGGGAGACAGUGUCAGGCGGGCAGUUUGACUGGGGCGGUCGCCUCCUAAAAGGUAACGGAGGCGCUCAAAGG
This 2304-nucleotide ribosomal RNA is filed under the name Staphylococcus aureus. RNAcentral describes it as "bacterial LSU rRNA". It matches the Rfam family "Bacterial large subunit ribosomal RNA", at positions 14 to 2316 of the family's 2925-position model. Lineage: Bacteria; Bacillati; Bacillota; Bacilli; Caryophanales; Staphylococcaceae. The record is from RNAcentral.